Arabidopsis thaliana (thale cress) is the source of this 422-nucleotide long non-coding RNA. RefSeq annotates it as other RNA. The record is from RefSeq. The transcript has a single exon. NCBI's taxonomy places the organism in Eukaryota, Viridiplantae, Streptophyta, Magnoliopsida, Brassicales, Brassicaceae.
GAAGUAUCUUGUUUCGGUUCUACUUACAGUUCAGUUUUAAGUUCGAGUUCGGCUAAACGAUCAUUAGACUGAACAACUAUUUUUAAUAUAUAUGUGAUACUAAUUCUAAAAAUAUAUUAUUACAAGUUACAAUAACAAUAUCAAAUUCUACUUCCAGUCUUCCACUAUAAUUUAAUACAACUCUCCCUGGUUCCUUCACAUCAAAUAUGCUUCGCUGUCAUCAUUGCAUUGAUUUUCCAUGGGUAGUCUUGGAUCUUCCGAAAACAAAAAGAUGAAUGUCCAUUUAUAAAUUCCAUAUAUAAAUUUAAAAACCCUAAAAAAAGGUUUUGUGGGUUUAUACAGGAAGUAAGCAAAACACAUAUGACUCAAGAAAAAGCUUUGAUCUCCAAAUUAUAAAGAAAAUAUACUUAUAUGCGAUUAAG